UUUUAUGGAGAGUUUGAUCCUGGCUCAGGAUGAACGCUGGCGGCGUGCCUAAUACAUGCAAGUCGAGCGAACAGACGAGGAGCUUGCUCCUCUGACGUUAGCGGCGGACGGGUGAGUAACACGUGGAUAACCUACCUAUAAGACUGGGAUAACUUCGGGAAACCGGAGCUAAUACCGGAUAAUAUAUUGAACCGCAUGGUUCAAUAGUGAAAGACGGUUUUGCUGUCACUUAUAGAUGGAUCCGCGCCGCAUUAGCUAGUUGGUAAGGUAACGGCUUACCAAGGCAACGAUGCGUAGCCGACCUGAGAGGGUGAUCGGCCACACUGGAACUGAGACACGGUCCAGACUCCUACGGGAGGCAGCAGUAGGGAAUCUUCCGCAAUGGGCGAAAGCCUGACGGAGCAACGCCGCGUGAGUGAUGAAGGUCUU
This 429-nucleotide ribosomal RNA is filed under the name Staphylococcus epidermidis. RNAcentral describes it as "bacterial SSU rRNA". It matches the Rfam family "Bacterial small subunit ribosomal RNA", at positions 1 to 418 of the family's 1533-position model. The record is from RNAcentral. Lineage: Bacteria; Bacillati; Bacillota; Bacilli; Caryophanales; Staphylococcaceae.